Molecule: long non-coding RNA, 4246 nt
Filed under: Phoenix dactylifera (date palm)
Lineage: Eukaryota; Viridiplantae; Streptophyta; Magnoliopsida; Arecales; Arecaceae
Description: long non-coding RNA (PDAC_LNC012109)
Source: RNAcentral
CAAUUUGGCUGGGAAGAGGUUCAUGUGGCUGGGAAGCUCGGGAGGAAUCAUGAAAGGUGGGAUGCUGGGAGGAAAUUGGAUAUGGGGAACGGCUUGGUUCUGGCAAGGACACGGAGCAGGGGAGGACAUGGAAGCUUGAUCUCUAAGCACUAAAAAAGGUGACGUGGACAUGGGUUCAUCUGCAAACGCGACCUGCACACAUUAGUUCAGACAUCAUCCCAAUUAGUUCGACUUGACCUGCACACAUUAGACUCGACCAAUAAAAUCAGGCAAACUCGAAUUAUUUUUAAUAAUUUAUUAAAAUGCAAUUAUGAAGGUAACACAUUUUUUUGGUUAAAUUUAUAAAAUAUGUAAAUUAAAAUAAUGAUAAGUGCUAUGAAUAAGAUAUUAAUUUAUGCAUUAUUUAGCACUUAUCACACCCCCCCAACCUACAUUUUGCUAGUCCUCGAGCAAAAUAAUAAUAAUAAUAAAAAAACUAACUCACUUUUGCAGGAAUCGCGAUUGCAUUUACCGUAUGCAAUAAGGCUUUAAACCCCUAGGUGGCCCUAGUGGACGAGUUUUGUCUCGUGAGGGUUUCCGGCGCAGAUACCCACAAACUGCUGUCGAAAGAAUUUAUUUUAUUGUUUUAUAAAAUCUAAUUUCAAAUGCAUAAGUGCCAAUAAUUUCAAAAGCACACAAAGUUUUAAUUAGUAAGUUAGCCCAAAUCAUAUAUCAGUAUGCAACUUAAGUUGAGGUUAUUAAGCUUCCGUUAGAGAGUUGUAAGGUUUAUUUAUACUUGGGUGCUUCGUGAUAUCUGGACCAUACACAAGCUAAGGCUUUAGAUUCCCCAAAAUACUGCUAAAGCUAGUAGUUUCCAAGAAUUGGUCAGAUAAGACCUAAUCACUGAUUCAAAAUCAUCCUAUCUUGCAGGAUUUCGAGAGUUGUGGAUAUUUACUUUAAUACCUCAUGGGCUUUAUCUGUAAUAUUCCAGUUUACUCGAAAUUUUACAACGACGGCUUUCACACUAUCGUCUUUUUCAAGGUCAAUAUUAUUUUUUUCUUUCACUAUAUUUUUUUUUGUAUUUAUAAAUAAUUAUGCACUUUUACUCUUGUAAUGAUUCCUCCGUGUAGUGAGCAUUCAGUCAACAACUCCCACACCAGAUGGCAUAUGGUAUUAGGCAUCAAGACUCCCCUACGGACCUAUGCUCGGGUUCAUCAUCACAAGCCCGCUGACCUUUGACAAUAGGUAGCCCUUUUCGAUGUACCUGACUAAAUUCAUUCUCUCUCUUUUUUUCUUUUCUUUUUUCAUUUUUUUUUCUUCUUUUGUUUUUUUAAGAUGAGAUCAUGGUGAAUUAGAUAGGUAUGAUUCAUCAGGACUCAAGGUUGCUACCAGACUUAACAACAUAAUGUUGAACCUAACCCUUAGAAGUGCAGGCCAUGUAUGUUGUAAAAUUCCAAAGUAAAAAUGAUCUUACAACUCACUAAAAGAACUUUUAAUAAAAAGAACUCAAAUUGACUUACUCCUGACUAGUCAUUGGGCUUUUUAGAUUUUAUAUACUUUGCGUAUUUAUCAUUUCAGCACUAAGGCAUAGAAAUUAGGUUUUUUGUUCGAAAAACUUAUUCAAUAAUGCAAAAAUGCGAAAAAAUUUCUUAUAAAAUUCGAAUCUUAUACCCCUCAACCUAGAUCAGACAUUGCCCUCAAUAUUUUUUUUGAAGAUAUUAUUAUUAUUAUUAUUUUAUAUUAUUUUGCUUUGGACAAAAAUAUGGUGCAUAUGGAGGAUAGAAGCAUUUUACCGUAGUUGCAUCAGUAAUAUGAGGGAUCCUGCUAAGAAAUUGAAAAAAAUGCAAUAGGAAAAAAAAUGCAAAAAUGACCUACGAAAAUUGGGUUGCCUCCCAACAAGCGCUAAGUUUAACGUCUUCAGCCAGACGCAGCGCAUCCUUAUCAAAUCAUACCGGGUAUAGUUGAUUCUAAUGUUCUGAUCUCAGCUCGAAUAUUUCUAGGGGUCUGUUCUAUUUCAAGAUCAAAAGAUAAUAGUUUAAGAGAUCUGGAACAACAUCCUAGCAUGCACCAAUACUUUUCGGAUCAGUCACGUACAGUCAAGCAUGCACUAAAAGAAAAAUACAUCAAAUCCUUGUAUUUGCCCUAAAAUCAUUAGACAACUCCUAACUGGUUUGAAGAGGGCACCUAAGCCUCCAAUCCGGUCUAAUGAACUUAGUUGACCAGGUAAGCUCCCAGGUAAGUGGGGCGGUCACGAUGCAUUCGCAAAGGUCCUACUUAAAAACCACUUGCCUCGAAUAGAUGAACUGUCUCUCUUAAGGGACAAAGCUUGCCUAGACAUCAACUGAGCCACAGAGCGAAAUUGGUGCAACUUUCGGUGAUCUUCGUCCUAUGAGCUCGAAUGUCCCUAGGGGCCAAUGUCUAAUUGAUUUUAAUUAAAGUGAUGCUAUGUGAGAAUUGAUUCACCUAAUUUGGGCAAGAAUCUGGUGAUGAAAUCCAGUUCUUAUCUUAUUGGGGUGAUUGCCCUUACUAUGUGCGAUUAAUUGGUGUAUGUGUAUCAGGCAUGCAUUCACAUUUUUUGCUGAAUUUAAAAUCAAACAAUCACCACAAAAGGGAAUUAAUUUAAAUAAGAAAGGUUUAGAGGUUACCAAAGGAAAUUUCCCCAGCAAUUUUUUUUAUUUAUUUUUUUAGGCAAACCUCUACAGCAUUUCUUUUCCAGCAGUUCCCUUUUUGAUCGUCCCAGAGUUCCUCUUCGAUUCCUGAUCAAAUAAUAUCGAGAGAAAAAUCAAAAAUUAGUAAAAGAAAAAAAGAGAUAAGGAAAGUAACAAAAAUAGAAAAUAUUUUUAUUUUAUUUUAAAUAUAUAUUUUUUUGAAAUUUUUUUUAAUGAAAAGGAAAACAACUAUGCUAGCAAUCUCCGGCAACGGCGCCAAAAAUUGAUAGUCAACUUUAAAGACCACGCAAUAGCACGUAUCUGGUAGGAUAGUGAUUACGGAUAUCGAUCCACAGGAAUUGGGGUACAGUUGUUUUUCUUUAAAAAUAAAAAUAUUUGAAAAAGAGAAUUUGUGAAGACUAUUAAACUAAGUAAUUUAAUAAGAAAUGCAAUUAAAAUGAUCAGUUUGGAGGAACCUAGGGCAAGAAAUUCACCACUAACAUCGGAACAAGGAUUAAUUAUAUUUUAAUUUAUUCUUGGAUAAACGUGCAAAUUGGUUACAAGCCUAAUAAGCAUUUAAAUAGAAAUUCACAAAAGUAAUUUAGGCAUAAUCCAUCUUUAGUUAGCAUAAAAUGUCUACCCUAAUCUAAGGUGGCAGCACAUCGCAUCUUCCUUAAAUAUGGACUAUCUUAUAUUUACCUAGUGAUCAUGAAGAACAAUUGUAUAAACGUCAUAUUUAAAAUCACAGAAAUUAAAUAUGAUUCAAAAGAAGAUAUCCAUUAAAAACAAUAAGUUCAUACAACCCCAAGAAUAAAAAAAAAAAUAAAUACAAAUCCCUUAUCCUUUUGUUAGGGCUGCAUCCAGCCCUACAGAAGAGCUUAAGCUUCCAUACAGUGGUAAACGGCAGCAGCAGCACAGCAGCGGGCUCCCGUCACUUCCUUGUCUUCCUCUUGUGAUUCCCCUGAGACCGAUUCCUUCCUUUGGGAAAUCAUUCCCAAAAUGCCCAGACUCUUCUCCCUCCUCUGUUUCCCGUGGAACUUGGCCUGUGAGAGAUAGAUGGGAUCAACCCCCGGUGGGGGAAGAGGGAAUGCCCCCCCGGUGGGGAAGGAGGAAUGCCCACUCUGAUCAGAAGUCCUCCCUUAUAUAGGCAGCCCAUCUCUCUCUCUCUCUUGCUUGUAACUAUUCCGAAUGGGUGGAUAAGGCAUGAGCUGAUCCGGGCGUUUGAAAGAGGCUGAGCUGGGAGAUGAAGCUCGAUCAAAUGAUUCGGGAGGAUGAGGAUGAAUAUGGAGACGUGGGAGUUUGGAUUCUAAACGGGAUCUGGGACAGCUGGGAACUGAUCCGGAAGGACCUUGAAUCGCGGACGGCUUCUAGUUUUAGGGAAGAUGGGUUGCUCUGUUUUGAGGCUGGGAAGCUAGAUCAAUGCAUGGGUCUAAUCCGCACACGGCUGGGAAUGGGAUAAGGACGAUUACUAACGGGAUGAAGGCUGAGAAGAAAUGAGAUGAGUCGUUGCUGCUGAUCCGCGGAUGCUUUGGGCUUGGUUGGGAAUGAACACUGGAAACAGGGGAUAAGCUUGGAUUCAGCUGGCAGUUUAGAUGAAGCUUGCUUGGAAGCUUGGGAAC